GCCCUGAUGAGAAGAGUCCUCUGUAGAUCUCCUUCGCCUUUCUCUGCAAUUCUACACUUGUCUCAAACUCCUCUUCACUGCAACAAUGGUGGGUCUUUGCCAAAGUUGGGUCCUACUCCCAGCUUCACCUUAACUUUCAGGUGGGUUUUCAUGUGCAAUUCUCUUCCUCCUCCAGAAUGGAUAGACCCCUUCAUUGACCUGUCUGAUGUAGCCUCAAGAAACUAUCAAGACCUUAAGCCCUCG
RNAcentral lists this unclassified non-coding RNA (243 nucleotides) under Hevea brasiliensis (rubber tree). The record is from RNAcentral. Lineage: Eukaryota; Viridiplantae; Streptophyta; Magnoliopsida; Malpighiales; Euphorbiaceae.